UUAAUACCUGGCAGGGAAGAUACCAUGAUGACCAAGGGGUUUUCCCUAGGGUGAGGCUUAUCCAUUGCAUUUGGAAUGUGCUGACCCCUGCCAUUCCCCCAAAUUCAGGAAACUCCACUGCAUAAUUUGUGAUAGUAGAGGACUGUAUUGGCACUCUCCCCUA
Small nuclear RNA from Phodopus roborovskii (desert hamster), 163 nucleotides. RefSeq annotates it as U1 spliceosomal RNA. The transcript has a single exon. NCBI's taxonomy places the organism in Eukaryota, Metazoa, Chordata, Mammalia, Rodentia, Cricetidae. The record is from RefSeq and is a predicted model, not a curated record.